GACGAACCGUACAAACGUUAUUCGGAAUCAUUGGGCUUAAAGGGUGCGUAGGCGGCGCAGAAAGUUGGGUGUGAAAUCCCUCGGCUCAACCGAGGAAGUGCGCCCAAAACUGCUGUGCUCGAGGGAGAUAGAGGUGAGCGGAACUUAGGGUGGAGCGGUGAAGUGCGUUGAUAUCCUAAGGAACACCAGUGGCGAAAGCGGCUCACUGGGUCUCUUCUGACGCUGAGGCACGAAAGCUAGGGUAGCGAACGGG
RNAcentral lists this ribosomal RNA (253 nucleotides) under uncultured bacterium. RNAcentral's name for it is "partial 16S ribosomal RNA". It matches the Rfam family "Bacterial small subunit ribosomal RNA", at positions 524 to 776 of the family's 1533-position model. The record is from RNAcentral.